CAGGUUUCUGCUCAAAUUAUUGAACUUCCCAGCCAAAAAUAUCGUCUUAUAUUUUUGUUUGUGCAAAAUUUUAAUUUAGUUGAUAGUUAUUUGUUUAUUUUUCUUUUCAAAUUGCUUGUGUUUGUUUAUCUAGUUAACUUGCACCAUAUUCAUUUAGCGAUCGUUAUUUGCUCUCUUUUCGGGUAACACUCACUCACAAGCUUUUCCAAUUUGAGGGAUUUAAAAUUUAUGAGUUUAGACCAGUGUCCAUUUGAUUUAUUGGCUAGAAGAUUAUUAUUUGUAUAGUGAAUCUUUUAACAUAUACACCAUUCCGAGUCAAAGCUACUUGUUUAACUCAUAACAUAUACUGUUUUGUUCUAAUUUAUGUGACACAUUUUCUGUUAGUUUGUUCCAAAAGAAUGACAUAAUUUAUAUUUGAAAGACUUUAACUUUAAACUUUUAUUUUAACCUCAGUAAGAACUUUUUAUAACAGCACAAAUAUUAGACAAUACAUAGGACCACAAGUUUCAAAUAUCUUAUAAUUGUACAAAUAUUAUAGCAUGUUUAAUAUCACAACUUUCAAACUCUUUUUUCCUUAAAAAUAAAUUAUAUCACAUAAAUUAAAAUAGAAGGAGUAUACUACAUCAGUCAGCCCUAGUGGAGGGGACCUACAGUAAGCUUUUAAGUUUUCAAGAAUUCUGUAAUAGAUUAAGAACCUGUUAGUCAGUGUGUUCAUAAAAUUUUCAAAUUUAACUUCAAGAUGCAUUUUGAAAAUUUUCGAAAAUUUGAAAAACUCCAAAAAGUUAUUUUUCAAAAUUUCACACAAGUCACUCACACCACUUCGAAAACAACCCAAAAUUACCAUUUUCACUUGAAAUUUUUUUUCACCAUGUUUUGGAAUUUUACAAUUCUUAUGUCCAAACGCCCACUAAGUUUCUAACACUAGUUUGUAAUUCUUAUUGAGCAGGGGCUCAAUCGAUAGGUGUUUGCUAUGGAAUGCUAGGCAACAACUUGCCAAAUCAUUGGGAAGUUAUACAGCUCUACAAGUCAAGAAACAUAGGAAGAUUGAGGCUUUAUGAUCCAAAUCAUGGAGCUUUACAAGCAUUAAAAGGCUCAAACAUUGAAGUAAUGUUAGGACUUCCCAAUUCAGAUGUGAAGCACAUUGCUUCCGGAAUGGAACAUGCAAGAUGGUGGGUACAGAAAAAUGUUAAAGAUUUCUGGCCAGAUGUUAAGAUUAAGUAUAUUGCUGUUGGGAAUGAAAUCAGCCCUGUCACUGGCACAUCAUACCUUACCUCAUUUCUUACUCCAGCUAUGGUAAAUAUUUACAAAGCAAUUGGUGAAGCUGGUUUGGGAAACAACAUCAAGGUCUCAACUUCUGUAGACAUGACCUUGAUUGGAAACUCUUAUCCACCAUCACAGGGUUCGUUUAGGAACGAUGCUAGGUGGUUUGUUGAUCCCAUUGUUGGCUUCUUAAGGGACACACGUGCGCCUUUACUCGUUAACAUUUACCCCUAUUUCAGCUAUUCUGGUAAUCCAGGCCAGAUUUCUCUCCCCUAUUCUCUUUUUACAGCACCAAAUGUUGUAGUACAAGAUGGUUCACGCCAAUAUAGGAACUUAUUUGAUGCAAUGCUGGAUUCUGUGUAUGCUGCCCUUGAGCGAUCAGGAGGAGCAUCUGUAGGGAUUGUUGUGUCCGAGAGUGGCUGGCCAUCUGCUGGUGCAUUUGGAGCCACAUAUGACAAUGCACAAACUUACUUGAGGAACUUGAUUCAACACGCUAAAGAGGGUAGCCCAAGAAAGCCUGGACCUAUUGAAACCUAUAUCUUUGCCAUGUUUGAUGAGAAUAACAAGAACCCUGAACUGGAGAAACAUUUUGGAUUGUUUUCUCCCAACAAGCAGCCAAAAUAUAAUCUCAAUUUCGGCGUCUCUGGUGGAGUUUGGGACAGUUCGGUUGAAACUAAUGCUACUGCUUCUCUCAUAAGUGAGAUGUGAGCUGAUGAGACACUUGAAAGCUCUUUACAUAAGUAUUGUUUGGAUGGAAAGCUUAGUAAAAACAACAGAAAUAACAUUGCACGUCUCUGUAACUCAUCAUGGAUAGUUAUCCAGAGACGAUGCAACUCUGAGUGGUUUUAAAUUCCUUUUCAUUGUGAUAUUGGUAAUUUGGCAAGAAACUUUCUGUAAGUUUGUGAAUUUCAUGCACCAUUAAUUAUACAUCAUUUCCAUGUUUCAUCAGAUUGGGAUUUGGUAAUUUCAAAGUUUGGUUAUUUAUUAAUUAGUGUCUUUAUCAUUUGACUCGAUC
RNAcentral lists this long non-coding RNA (2275 nucleotides) under Nicotiana benthamiana. RNAcentral's name for it is "long non-coding RNA (NBEN_LNC007837)". The record is from RNAcentral. Lineage: Eukaryota; Viridiplantae; Streptophyta; Magnoliopsida; Solanales; Solanaceae.